RNAcentral lists this ribosomal RNA (443 nucleotides) under uncultured Bacillota bacterium. Its description in RNAcentral is "bacterial SSU rRNA". It matches the Rfam family "Bacterial small subunit ribosomal RNA", at positions 917 to 1359 of the family's 1533-position model. Lineage: Bacteria; Bacillati; Bacillota. The record is from RNAcentral.
GGGCCCGCACAAGCGGUGGAGCAUGUGGUUUAAUUCGAAGCAACGCGAAAAACCUUACCAGGUCUUGACAUCCUGUUGACCGGUUCUGUAAUUGAACCUUUUCUUCGGAACAACAGUGACAGGUGGUGCAUGGUCGUCGUCAGCUCGUGUCGUGAGAUGUUGGGUUAAGUCCCGCAACGAGCGCAACCCUUAUUAUUAGUUGCCAGCAUUAAGUUGGGCACUCUAAUGAGACUGCCGGUGAUAAACCGGAGGAAGGUGGGGACGACGUCAGAUCAUCAUGCCCCUUAUGACCUGGGCUACACACGUGCUACAAUGGGAAGUACAACGAGUUGCCAACCAGCGAUGGUGAGCUAAUCUCUUAAAGCUUCUCUCAGUUCGGACUGCAGUCUGCAACUCGACUGCACGAAGUCGGAAUCGCUAGUAAUCGCGAAUCGAGCAUGUCG